UCGGCUGUGGCGUGACUGUCCCUCUGUGUCCCCCACCAGGCCCACUGCUCAGUGGAGCGUGGAAGAUGAGGAGGAGGCCACCCGCGACCCAUGCCGGCA
This 99-nucleotide microRNA precursor is filed under the name Mandrillus leucophaeus (drill). RNAcentral describes it as "miRNA (ENSMLEG00000017242.1)". The record is from RNAcentral. Lineage: Eukaryota; Metazoa; Chordata; Mammalia; Primates; Cercopithecidae.